UACAGAGGUCCCAAGCGUUGUUCGGAUUCACUGGGCGUAAAGGGUGCGUAGGCGGCGCGGUAAGUCGGGUGUGAAAUCUCGGAGCUUAACUCCGAAACUGCAUUCGAUACUGCGGUGCUUGAGGACUGGAGAGGAGACUGGAAUUCAUGGUGUAGCAGUGAAGUGCGUAGAGAUCAUGAGGAAGACCAGUGGCGAAGGCGGGUCUCUGGACAGUUCCUGACACUGAGGCACGAAGGCCAGGGGAGCAAACGGG
Molecule: ribosomal RNA, 253 nt
Filed under: uncultured bacterium
Lineage: Bacteria
Description: partial 16S ribosomal RNA
Rfam family: Bacterial small subunit ribosomal RNA
Source: RNAcentral